CCUACGGGGGGCAGCAGUGAGGAAUAUUGGUCAAUGGCCGUAAGGCUGAACCAGCCAAGUAGCGUGAGGGAAGACUGCCCUAUGGGUUGUAAACCUCUUUUAUGCGGGGAUAAAGGUGUCCACGUGUGGAUGUUUGCAGGUACCGCAUGAAUAAGGACCGGCUAAUUCCGGGCCAGCAGCCGCGGUAAUACGGAAGGUCCGGGCGUUAUCCGGAUUUAUUGGGUUUAAAGGGAGCGUAGGCCGGUCUUUAAGCGUGCCGUGAAAUUUUGUGGCUCAACCGUGGGAGUGCGGCGCGAACUGGAUACCUUGAGUGCGCAGAAGGACAGCGGAAUUCCAGGUGUAGCGGUGGAAUGCUUAGAUAUCACGAAGAACCCCGGUUGCGAAGGCAGCCUGCCGCAGCGCUACUGACGCUGAAGCUCGAAAGCGCGGGUAUCGAACAGGAUUAGAUACCCCGGUAGUC
This 460-nucleotide ribosomal RNA is filed under the name uncultured bacterium. RNAcentral's name for it is "partial 16S ribosomal RNA". It matches the Rfam family "Bacterial small subunit ribosomal RNA", at positions 338 to 795 of the family's 1533-position model. The record is from RNAcentral.